GAAUAUUGGACAAUGGGGGGAACCCUUAUCCAGCCAUGCCGCGUGUUUGAAGAAGGCCUUUUGGUUGUAAAGCACUUUAAGCGCGGCGGAGGAGCCCUUGGUUAAUACCCAAGAUGCUUGGACGUUCCUCGCAGCAUAAGCACCGGCUAACCCUGCGCCCGCAGCCGCGGUAAUACAGGGGGUGCAAGCGUUAAUCGGAUUUACUGGGCGUAAAGCGCGCGUAGGUGGACAAUUAAGGCAAAUGUGAAAGCCCCGAGCUUAACUUGGGAAUUGAAUGCGAUACUGGUUGGCUAGAGGAUGGGAGAGGAUGGUAGAAUUCCAGGUGUAGCGGUGAAAUGCGUAGAGAUCUGGAGGAAUACCGAUGGCGAAGGCAGCCAUCUGGCCUAAUACUGACACUGAGGUGCGAAAGCAUGGGGAGCAAACA
Molecule: ribosomal RNA, 424 nt
Filed under: uncultured bacterium
Lineage: Bacteria
Description: partial 16S ribosomal RNA
Rfam family: Bacterial small subunit ribosomal RNA
Source: RNAcentral